RNAcentral lists this long non-coding RNA (1282 nucleotides) under Macaca fascicularis (crab-eating macaque). RNAcentral describes it as "lncRNA (ENSMFAG00000057726.1)". Lineage: Eukaryota; Metazoa; Chordata; Mammalia; Primates; Cercopithecidae. The record is from RNAcentral.
GUGGUGGAGUUAAAUUUCAAACCCAGAUCCUGACUCAAUAGCCACUAUAUUAUGGGGGUUCUCACACACACACACACACACACACACUCACACCCACAGAGUGCAGUUAAAAUCUUUACAAGGGCAAUUACAAACAAUAAAAAUGCCAACAAUAUAAUAUUAUCUGAAAAAGUGACCCACGAAAUGUGUGUGCACUGUGAUUUGUGAUUGUUCCAUACAUAAUAUGCAUCUGCAAAAGGACUAUAAUCAUCCGCAUGAUGGCAACCUUUUAUUUAUUUGUCAAAUUGCAAAAGUAGGCACCAGCCAUGAGCUGAGACUUGAGCUCAUUUAUACACAGUUCAGAUGGCCAGGCUGGAUUAACUUUCCUCCUUCCUACACCACCACCCUGGGCUUAUGAUGCCACAGCAUCAUUGUCAGUGUCACUGUUAGCCUCCCCAAACAGUAGCACAAAUUUUUGAGGGAAUCGAGGAUCAGAGAGGUGAAGUGUCUUGGACAAGGCGGGACAGUGAGGAAGCAGCCAAGCAUGGAUUUAACCCAAAGAUUUUCCAGGUUUGGCCCAGUUUUUCUACUUCCUACUGUGUUGCUGUUUCAUUUAAUCUUAUUUCUUCCUCCUCUAUCUAAGAACAGGAAGCUAUUCUCUCAUGUUCUUCUCUGAGUUUUUCUCUCUCCCCCUACUCCUCCUCCCUCUGCACCUCUCCUUUCUCUCUCCUAACCUGGCUCCACUGCUUCAUUGCCCUGCACAUGCCCACAAUGGCCACUCUGGCUCACAAUCCACAUAAUUUAGUAUGCACCUGAACUUCACUCUGCUUACAUUCCACUCAUGUAUUCAAGUCAACCCCUGCAUCACAUGGGUGUUAGUCAAUAGAGUCCAGUAACACUUGGGCCUAUUUUCCAUCCUAAUCAAUACUAAAAUAUAUCUAUUACACUGUUUCUUGUUAUUACCACAGAAAAUUCUAUUUAUCUAUGAUAUAAAUUUCCACAGAUUUUUAACAAUAGCUUUGUUGGAAUCCACUCAUAAAAAAUUAAAGGGAGGUGGCCAGGCAUAGGGACUCAUCCCUGUAAUCCUAGCACUUUGGGAGGCCAAGGUGGGUGGAUCACCUGAAGUCAAGAGUUCAAGACCAGCCUGGCCAACAUGGUAAAACACUACUCAGGAGGCUGAGGCAGGAGAAUCGCUUGAACCCAGGAGGUGGAGCAGUGAGCCAAGAUCGCGCCACUGCACUCCAGCCUGGGUAACACAGCAAGACUCCAUCUAAAAAAAAAAAAAAGAAAGAAAAAAGAAAAA